GGAGGGGUGGCAGAGCGGUUUAUUGCACCUGUCUUGAAAACAGACGUGCGUGAUGAGCGCACCGGGGGUUCGAAUCCCUCCCCCUCCG
RNAcentral lists this transfer RNA (88 nucleotides) under Saprospirales bacterium. Its description in RNAcentral is "tRNA-Ser". It matches the Rfam family "tRNA". From Rfam's summary of the family: Transfer RNA (tRNA) molecules are approximately 80 nucleotides in length. Their secondary structure includes four short double-helical elements and three loops (D, anti-codon, and T loops). Further hydrogen bonds mediate the characteristic L-shaped molecular structure. tRNAs have two regions of fundamental functional importance: the anti-codon, which is responsible for specific mRNA codon recognition, and the 3' end, to which the tRNAs corresponding amino acid is attached (by aminoacyl-tRNA synthetases). tRNAs cope with the degeneracy of the genetic code in two manners: having more than one tRNA (with a specific anti-codon) for a particular amino acid; and 'wobble' base-pairing, i.e. permitting non-standard base-pairing at the 3rd anti-codon position. Lineage: Bacteria; Pseudomonadati; Bacteroidota; Saprospiria; Saprospirales. The record is from RNAcentral.